CUUCAUGUGAUGCUAAGAAAAUGGCUUUAGAGACAACUAACUUCAUGUGAUGCUAAGAAAAUUGCUUUAGAGACAACUAACUUCAUGUGGGGCAACCAUGUUUAUGUAAUGUUAAACGGUGCUUUUAGAGGCAAGUUGACUUUGAUUGCCUCAAUGAGUUACCUCUAUAACCAAAUUUAAUUGAAGUGGAGGAAGGGCGUAUUAAUCGACGAAAUGCUUUGGGGAGUUGAAAAUAAGCAGAGAUCAACGGGGUUGUGGGACAGCAAUACAAGUGACGUGCUGCUAGGAGAAUAUGUGGAGUGCGGGACCCUAUAUGGUGAAAGUCUAGUAGCCGAAACCAUCACUAGCUUACGCUCUGACCCGAGUAGCUGGGGCACGUGGAAUCCCGUGUGACUCAGCAAGGACCACCUUGCAAGGCUAAAUACUCCUGGGUGACCGAUAGUGAAGUAGUACCGUGAGGGAAGGGUGAAAAGAACCCCCGUCGGGGAGUGAAAUAAAACAUGAAAUCGUCAGCUCUCAAGCAGUGGGAGGGGGGUGCCUCUGACCGUGUGCCUGUUGAACAAUCAGCCGACGACUCAUAAGCAGUUGCUUGGUUAAGGGAACCCACCGGAGAUGUAGCGAAAUCGAGUCUUCAUAGGGCAAUUAUCACUACUUGUGGACCCGAACCUGGGUGAUAUAUCCAUGACCAGGAUGAAGCUUGGGUGAAACUAAGUGAAGGUCCGAACCGACUAAUGUUGAAGAAUCAGCGGAUAAGUUGUGGUUAGGGGUUAAAUGCCACUAGAAUUCAUAACUAGCUGGUUCUCCCCGAAAUGCAUUGAGGCACAACAGUUGACUAGACAUCUAAGAGUAAAGCAUUGUUUCAGUGUGGGCCACGAGACAGUACCAAAUCGAGGCAAACUCUGAAUACAAGAUAUGACCUCCAAAUAACAGGGGUCAAGGUCGGCCGUGAGACGAUGAAGGAUAAGCUUCAUCGUCGAGAGGGAAACAACCUGGAUAACCAGCUUAGGCUCCUAAAUGACCGUUGAUUGAUAAAGGAGGUAGGGGUGCAGAGACAUCUAGGAGGUUUGCCUAGAAGCAGCCACCCUUGAAAGAGUGCGUAAUAGCUCACAGAUCGAGCGCUCUUGCGCGGAAGAUGAACAGGGCUAAGCGGUCUGUCGAAGCUGUGGGAUGUAAAAAAGCAUCGGUGGCGCGAGCCGUGCCGGACGAAGUAGUAGCGAGAAUGUGGGCUUGAGUAACGCAAUCAUUGGUGAGAAUCCAAUGCCCCUAAAACCGAAGGGUUCCUCUACAAGGUUCGUCCACGGAGGGUGAGUCAGAGCCUAAGAUCAAGCCCGGGGGACUAUUAACCAAAAACACAGGUCUUCGCAAACUAGUAAAACCAUGUAUGGGGGCUUACGCUUGCCGAGUGCUGGAAGGUCAAGGAAGUUGGUGACCUGAUUACAAGGGAGCCGGCGACCGAAGCCCCGAUGAACGGCGGUCGUAACUAUAACGGUCCUAAGGUAGUGAAAUUCCUUGUCAGGUAAGUUCCGAUCGACACGAAAGGUGUAACGAUCUGGGCACUAUCUCGGAGAGAGGCUCGGUGAAAUAGACAUGUCUGUGAAGAUGCGGACUACCUGCACUUGGACAGAAAGACCCUUUGAAGCUUUACUGUUCCCUGUGAUUGGCUUUGGGCUUUUCCGGCGCAGCUUAGGUUGAAGUCGAAGAAAGCCCCCUUCCCGGGGGGGGGGGGGCGAGCCAUCACUGUGAUACCACUCUGGAAAAGAUAGAAUUCUAACCUUGUGUGUUGUGUCAGGACCUACGGGCCAAGUGACAAUCUCAGGUACACAGUUCUAUAGGGCGUAGGCCUCUUAAAAGGUAAAGGAGGCGUGCAAAGAUUUCCUCGGGGCGGACGGAGAUUAACCCUCGAGUGCAAAGACAGAAGGGAGCUUGACUGCAAGACCCACCCGCCGUGCAGGGACGAACUUCGGCCAUAGUGAUCCGACGAUGUCGAGAGGCAGGGUCGUCGCUCAACGGAUAAAAGUUACUCUAGGGAUAACAGGCUGAUCUUCCCCAAGAGUUCACAUCGACGGGAAGGUUUGACACCUCGAUGUUGGCUCUUCGCCACCUGGGGUUGGGAUGUUUGCCCAUUUAAGCGGUACUUGAGCAGGGUUCAAAAUGUCGUGAGACAGUUUGAUCCAUAUCCGGUGUGGGUGUUAAGAGCAUUGAGAGGACCUUUCCCUCGUACGAGAGGACCGGAAAGGACGCACCUCUGGUGUACCAGUUAUCGUGCCCACGGUAAAUGCUGGGUAGCAAAGUGCGGAGCGGAUAACUGCUUAAAGCAUCUAAGUAGUAAGCCCACCCCAAGAUGAGUGCUCUCCUAUUCCGAAUUCCCCAGAGCCGCCGAUAGCACAACUAAGGCAGCGACGGGUUCACUGCCCCUGCGUUGUGGGGGUAGAGCGCCAUAAGUUUUGAAAGAGCAAGUCACGACGAGAUGAGUCGUUUAUCAUUAUGAUAGGUGUCAAGUGGAAGUGUAGUGAUGUAUGCAGCUGAGGCAUCCUAACAGACCGAUAGACUUGANNNN
This is a ribosomal RNA of Beta vulgaris subsp. vulgaris (sugar beet), 2557 nucleotides long. It matches the Rfam family "Bacterial large subunit ribosomal RNA". NCBI's taxonomy places the organism in Eukaryota, Viridiplantae, Streptophyta, Magnoliopsida, Caryophyllales, Amaranthaceae. The record is from Rfam.